AUUGAACGCUGGCGGCAUGCCUUACACAUGCAAGUCGAACGGUAACAGGUCUUCGGAUGCUGACGAGUGGCGAACGGGUGAGUAAUACAUCGGAACGUGCCCGAUCGUGGGGGAUAACGAAGCGAAAGCUUUACCAAUACCGCAUAAGAUCUACGGAUGAAAGCAGGGGACCGCAAGGCCUUGCGCGAACGGGGCGGCCGAUGGCAGAUUAGGUAGUUGGUGGGAUAAAAGCUUACCAAGCCGACGAUCUGUAGCUGGUCUGAGAGGACGACCAGCCACACUGGGACUGAGACACGGCCCAGACUCCUACGGGAGGCAGCAGUGGGGAAUUUUGGACAAUGGGCGAAAGCCUGAUCCAGCCAUGCCGCGUGCAGGAUGAAGGCCUUCGGGUUGUAAACUGCUUUUGUACGGAACGAAAAGACUCUUUCUAAUAAAGAGGGUCCAUGACGGUACCGUAAGAAUAAGCACCGGCUAACUACGUGCCAGCCGCCGCAGUAA
This 498-nucleotide ribosomal RNA is filed under the name uncultured bacterium. Its description in RNAcentral is "partial 16S ribosomal RNA". It matches the Rfam family "Bacterial small subunit ribosomal RNA", at positions 30 to 523 of the family's 1533-position model. The record is from RNAcentral.